CGCGUAGGUGGUUCGUUAAGUUGGAUGUGAAAUCCCCGGGCUCAACCUGGGAACUGCAUCCAAAACUGGCAAGCUAGAGUAUGGUAGAGGGUGGUGGAAUUUCCUGUGUAGCGGUGAAAUGCGUAGAUAUAGGAAGGAACACCAGUGGCGAAGGCGACCACCUGGACUGAUACUGACACUGGGGUACGAAAGCAUGGGGAGCAAACAGGAUUAGAUACCCUUGUA
This 225-nucleotide ribosomal RNA is filed under the name uncultured Pseudomonas sp. RNAcentral describes it as "partial 16S ribosomal RNA". It matches the Rfam family "Bacterial small subunit ribosomal RNA", at positions 568 to 792 of the family's 1533-position model. Lineage: Bacteria; Pseudomonadati; Pseudomonadota; Gammaproteobacteria; Pseudomonadales; Pseudomonadaceae. The record is from RNAcentral.